UUUGCCAUGAUGAGCUGUUAACAUGUAAGAAGGACUCUGAUAUGGGGUCGCUUCUGUGAAAUACGCUUGUUACGCUUGGCUUCUGAGCUAU
Molecule: non-coding RNA, 91 nt
Organism: Jatropha curcas
Lineage: Eukaryota; Viridiplantae; Streptophyta; Magnoliopsida; Malpighiales; Euphorbiaceae
Source: Rfam